GUUGGUGUCACUAAAACAAACUAGUGACCGCAUAGCAACAGAUGCCAAUCGUCGCUAAACCAUGCAUAUUUAAUCCUGUAGCGACAAUAAACCCAUAUGUCGGUAUAUAAAGUGACUGUUGUUUCCAUCGCUAAGGCGUACAUCAAUUGUCACUUAUGUUGCAACCAAGAAGUUGUUGUAUAUCCAUUUAGCAACGGACGGUAGCU
Molecule: long non-coding RNA, 206 nt
Filed under: Ricinus communis (castor bean)
Lineage: Eukaryota; Viridiplantae; Streptophyta; Magnoliopsida; Malpighiales; Euphorbiaceae
Description: long non-coding RNA (RCOM_LNC000575)
Source: RNAcentral